UUAGACCCAAUAAAAAGGCAAAGAGCCCUUCCAGAAAGUCCCCCAUUAAAAAGUCGAAUUGCUUAGUGGGAUGCCUGACACCUGCCCCUCACUGUAAGGCAGAUCAACAGCACUGCUGGCCUUGCCUCCGGUUCCCAGCAGCUGGCUGCAGGGGGGCUCACGGGGGGGACCAGAGUGGGUCCAGGCAGGAGCUAUCUGAGUGCAGCCUUGGAUCUGACA
Molecule: small nucleolar RNA, 219 nt
Organism: Ailuropoda melanoleuca (giant panda)
Lineage: Eukaryota; Metazoa; Chordata; Mammalia; Carnivora; Ursidae
Source: Ensembl